RNAcentral lists this unclassified non-coding RNA (712 nucleotides) under Bombus terrestris (buff-tailed bumblebee). RNAcentral's name for it is "misc RNA ENSBTSG00005029465.1". Lineage: Eukaryota; Metazoa; Arthropoda; Insecta; Hymenoptera; Apidae. The record is from RNAcentral.
ACAUAGCUAUGUGAUUAAUCUUUAUUAUUUAAUAAUAUAUUUAUUAUAAUUUUAUUAUCAUUAUUUUAUUCUUAUUAUUAUCAUAUAUAUCAAAUUAUUAAUAUCUAUUCACAUGUUCUCACUCUGCUCUCUGAUAACAUUCUAUGUAUUUAUAUAUGUGUAUGUGUAUACUAUAAAAACAAUAUAUAUAUAUACCUGGUGCACACAUGUUAGAAUUAUUCUUUUCCAUUUCAUCUAAAUCAUCAUCCUCACUAUUUAUCUCAUCAUCAUCAUCCGAACAAGCAGAUUUUGAUUUUGAAGUGCCAUUUGUUAAUCGAACUUUGCCCCUUUUAGCUUUCCCUUUUGUAUUUUUUGCAUUAUUAUUGCGUCUUCUUGCAGAUUUCCAGUUUGAAAUAAUUCUUCCCAUAUGCUCUUCAAACAUGGCUGAUAAUCUUAUUGUCAUUGAAUAUAUCUAGAAUAAAGAUUGUACCAUUAUCUUGUACAAUAGUUGUAAUAUUCUUCACAUAGUAUUGUAAUAAAUAUGGCAUACCCUUGAUCGUUUGUUAGUAUUAUAAUUUCUACUAUUUGUAAAUAUUAAUCGCAUAUCUUUGGCAAACUCUAUAGGAGUUUCAUAAUUUCCUCCUAAUAAAUCCUCUUUUACCGUACGUAAAUCCAUUGGUGUAUCUAUAAUUUGAUGAUAAUCUGGGUGCUCUAAUCUAUCAACUGGUUCUCU